AGUUGCUCUGCUUUUGUCUUGUCGACAGACACUGAAGCAACUCAUCUCAUCUGGAUUAAUUUGACGUCUUUUAAAGGCAGCCUGCACCUUCAUAAAAAGCUCCUGCACCAAGUGCCUCCAUGGUGCCUCCGGCGAAGAGCGACAGGAUCAUCACUCACCUCCCCAAGUGCUUCAGUCCCAGAGCGGCGCUGCACACCGAAGACGUCUUCCACCCCGACGUGACGGCCGCCUGCCACCACCGCAGGGAGGACGCCGUCAG
Molecule: long non-coding RNA, 259 nt
Organism: Nerophis lumbriciformis (worm pipefish)
Lineage: Eukaryota; Metazoa; Chordata; Actinopteri; Syngnathiformes; Syngnathidae
Source: RefSeq, a predicted model, not a curated record